Molecule: ribosomal RNA, 497 nt
Filed under: uncultured bacterium
Lineage: Bacteria
Description: partial 16S ribosomal RNA
Rfam family: Bacterial small subunit ribosomal RNA
Source: RNAcentral
GAUGAACGCUGGCGGCGUGCCUAAUACAUGCAAGUCGAGCGAACAGACGAGUAGCUUGCUCCUCUGACGUUAGCGGCGGACGGGUGAGUAACACGUGGAUAACCUACCUAUAAGACUGGGAUAACUUCGGGAAACCGGAGCUACUACCGGAUAAUAUAUUGAACCGCAUGGUUCAAUAGUGAAAGACGGUUUUGCUGUCACUUAUAGAUGGAUCCGCGCCGCAUUAGCUAGUUGGUAAGGUAACGGCUUACCAAGGCAACGAUGCGUAGCCGACCUGAGAGGGUGAUCGGCCACACUGGAACUGAGACAAGGUCCAGACUCCUACGGGAGGCAGCAGUAGGGAAUCUUCCGCAAUGGGCGAAAGCUUGACGGAGCAACGCCGCGUGAGUGAUGAAGGUCUUCGGAUCGUAAAACUCUGUUAUUAGGGAAGAACAAAUGUGUAAGUAACUAUGCACGUCUUGACGGUACCUAAUCAGAAAGCCACGGCUAACUACGUG